UACGGAGGGUGCAAGCGUUGUUCGGAAUCACUGGGCGUAAAGCGCGUGUAGGCGGUCUCUUUAGUCUGGUGUGAAAGCCCGGGGCUCACCCCCGGAAGUGCAUCGGAUACUGGGAGACUUGAGUACCGGAGAGGAGGGUGGAAUUCCUGGUGUAGCGGUGAAAUGCGUAGAUAUCAGGAGGAACACCGGUGGCGAAGGCGGCCCUCUGGACGGAUACUGACGCUGAGACGCGAAAGCGUGGGGAG
RNAcentral lists this ribosomal RNA (245 nucleotides) under uncultured bacterium. Its description in RNAcentral is "partial 16S ribosomal RNA". It matches the Rfam family "Bacterial small subunit ribosomal RNA", at positions 524 to 768 of the family's 1533-position model. The record is from RNAcentral.